UUUAUGGAGAGUUUGAUCCUGGCUCAGGAUGAACGCUGGCGGCGUGCCUAAUACAUGCAAGUCGAGCGAACGGACGAGAAGCUUGCUUCUCUGAUGUUAGCGGCGGACGGGUGAGUAACACGUGGAUAACCUACCUAUAAGACUGGGAUAACUUCGGGAAACCGGAGCUANUANNGNNNGNGNAUUUUGAACCGCAUGGUUCAAAAGUGAAAGACGGUCUUGCUGUCACUUAUAGAUGGAUCCGCGCUGCAUUAGCUAGUUGGUAAGGUAACGGCUUACCAAGGCAACGAUGCAUAGCCGACCUGAGAGGGUGAUCGGCCACACUGGAACUGAGACACGGUCCAGACUCCUACGGGAGGCAGCAGUAGGGAAUCUUCCGCAAUGGGCGAAAGCCUGACGGAGCAACGCCGCGUGAGUGAUGAAGGUCUUCGGAUCGUAAAACUCUGUUAUUAGGGAAGAACAUAUGUGUAAGUAACUGUGCACAUCUUGACGGUACCUAAUCAGAAAGCCACGGCUAACUACGUGCCAGCAGCCGCGGUAAUACGUAGGUGGCAAGCGUUAUCCGGAAUUAUUGGGCGUAAAGCGCGCGUAGGCGGUUUUUUAAGUCUGAUGUGAAAGCCCACGGCUCAACCGUGGAGGGUCAUUGGAAACUGGAAAACUUGAGUGCAGAAGAGGAAAGUGGAAUUCCAUGUGUAGCGGUGAAAUGCGCAGAGAUAUGGAGGAACACCAGUGGCGAAGGCGACUUUCUGGUCUGUAACUGACGCUGAUGUGCGAAAGCGUGGGGAUCAAACAGGAUUAGAUACCCUGGUAGUCCACGCCGUAAACGAUGAGUGCUAAGUGUUAGGGGGUUUCCGCCCCUUAGUGCUGCAGCUAACGCAUUAAGCACUCCGCCUGGGGAGUACGACCGCAAGGUUGAAACUCAAAGGAAUUGACGGGGACCCGCACAAGCGGUGGAGCAUGUGGUUUAAUUCGAAGCAACGCGAAGAACCUUACCAAAUCUUGACAUCCUUUGACAACUCUAGAGAUAGAGCCUUCCCCUUCGGGGGACAAAGUGACAGGUGGUGCAUGGUUGUCGUCAGCUCGUGUCGUGAGAUGUUGGGUUAAGUCCCGCAACGAGCGCAACCCUUAAGCUUAGUUGCCAUCAUUAAGUUGGGCACUCUAAGUUGACUGCCGGUGACAAACCGGAGGAAGGUGGGGAUGACGUCAAAUCAUCAUGCCCCUUAUGAUUUGGGCUACACACGUGCUACAAUGGACAAUACAAAGGGCAGCGAAACCGCGAGGUCAAGCAAAUCCCAUAAAGUUGUUCUCAGUUCGGAUUGUAGUCUGCAACUCGACUACAUGAAGCUGGAAUCGCUAGUAAUCGUAGAUCAGCAUGCUACGGUGAAUACGUUCCCGGGUCUUGUACACACCGCCCGUCACACCACGAGAGUUUGUAACACCCGAAGCCGGUGGAGUAACCUUUUAGGAGCUAGCCGUCGAAGGUGGGACAAAUGAUUGGGGUGAAGUCGUAACAAGGUAGCCGUAUCGGAAGGUGCGGCUGGAUCACCUCCUUU
This 1553-nucleotide ribosomal RNA is filed under the name Staphylococcus aureus. Its description in RNAcentral is "16S ribosomal RNA". It matches the Rfam family "Bacterial small subunit ribosomal RNA". The record is from RNAcentral. Lineage: Bacteria; Bacillati; Bacillota; Bacilli; Caryophanales; Staphylococcaceae.